UCUUUAUAUAUUUCAUGUUUAAUGUUUAUAACCACGGAUAAGAGGUAUAUAAAGCAAGCCAGGGUAUCGCAAGUUGCAUUCAGUCUGAAAAUAUCAUUUACUCGUACAAUUGUUAUUCAUUUAAAAAAUUAAGAUGAAAGGAUUUUUAUUUAUUUUCGCUAUUGUAAUGGCGCUGUUGUCUUUAACUUCGACAGUAAUGUCUGAGGACUUAGAAGCCGGUCCUGUACUUCAAAGGUUGAAACGUGAAAAUAAAUGUGAUUAUUGGGAGUGCGAUCGCCUCUGUCGCAGGCUGGAAUUCCCCGGCGGAGCAUGUGUUGGGAAUAAGUGUGAUUGUGAUAAAUUUUAGUUAACAUCCUACAAUUUCAAUAAUAAAAUCGAUUCACGUUAA
Molecule: long non-coding RNA, 388 nt
Organism: Melitaea cinxia (Glanville fritillary)
Lineage: Eukaryota; Metazoa; Arthropoda; Insecta; Lepidoptera; Nymphalidae
Exons: 2
Source: RefSeq, a predicted model, not a curated record